This 483-nucleotide ribosomal RNA is filed under the name uncultured bacterium. Its description in RNAcentral is "partial 16S ribosomal RNA". It matches the Rfam family "Bacterial small subunit ribosomal RNA", at positions 30 to 507 of the family's 1533-position model. The record is from RNAcentral.
UUGAACGCUGGCGGCAGGCCUAACACAUGCAAGUCGAGCGGAUGAAGGGAGCUUGCUCCUGGAUUCAGCGGCGGACGGGUGAGUAAUGCCUAGGAAUCUGCCUGGUAGUGGGGGAUAACGUCCGGAAACGGGCGCUAAUACCGCAUACGUCCUGAGGGAGAAAGUGGGGGAUCUUCGGACCUCACGCUAUCAGAUGAGCCUAGGUCGGAUUAGCUAGUUGGUGGGGUAAAGGCCUACCAAGGCGACGAUCCGUAACUGGUCUGAGAGGAUGAUCAGGCACACUGGAACUGAGACACGGUCCAGACUCCUACGGGAGGCAGCAGUGGGGAAUAUUGGACAAUGGGCGAAAGCCUGAUCCAGCCAUGCCGCGUGUGUGAAGAAGGUCUUCGGAUUGUAAAGCACUUUAAGUUGGGAGGAAGGGCAGUAAGUUAAUACCUUGCUGUUUUGACGUUACCAACAGAAUAAGCACCGGCUAACUUCGUG